UGCCUUUAUCUGGGGGAUAGCCUUUCGAAAGGGAGAUUAAUACCCCAUAAUAUUUAGAAUGGCAUCAUUUUAAAUUGAAAACUCCGGUGGAUAGAGAUGGGCACGCGCAAGAUUAGAUAGUUGGUGAGGUAACGGCUCACCAAGUCAACGAUCUUUAGGGGGCCUGAGAGGGUGAUCCCCCACACUGGUACUGAGACACGGACCAGACUCCUACGGGAGGCAGCAGUGAGGAAUAUUGGACAAUGGGUGAGAGCCUGAUCCAGCCAUCCCGCGUGAAGGACGACGGCCCUAUGGGUUGUAAACUUCUUUUGUAUAGGGAUAAACCUACCCUCGUGAGGGUAGCUGAAGGUACUAUACGAAUAAGCACCGGCUAACUCCGUGCCAGCAGCCGCGGUAAUACGGAGGGUGCAAGCGUUAUCCGGAUUUAUUGGGUUUAAAGGGUCCGUAGGCGGAUCUGUAAGUCAGUGGUGAAAUCUCACAGCUUAACUGUGAAACUGCCAUUGAUACUGCAGGUCUUGAGUGUUGUUGAAGUAGCUGGAAUAAGUAGUGUAGCGGUGAAAUGCAUAGAUAUUACUUAGAACACCAAUUGCGAAGGCAGGUUACUAAGCAACAACUGACGCUGAUGGACGAAAGCGUGGGGAGCGAACAGGAUUAGAUACCCUGGUAGUCCACGCCGUAAACGAUGCUAACUCGUUUUUGGUUUUUCGGAAUCAGAGACUAAGCGAAAGUGAUAAGUUAGCCACCUGGGGAGUACGUUCGCAAGAAUGAAACUCAAAGGAAUUGACGGGGGCCCGCACAAGCGGUGGAUUAUGUGGUUUAAUUCGAUGAUACGCGAGGAACCUUACCAAGGCUUAAAUGGGAAAUGACAGGUUUAGAAAUAGACUUUUCUUCGGACAUUUUUCAAGGUGCUGCAUGGUUGUCGUCAGCUCGUGCCGUGAGGUGUUAGGUUAAGUCCUGCAACGAGCGCAACCCCUGUCACUAGUUGCCAUCAUUAAGUUGGGGACUCUAGUGAGACUGCCUACGCAAGUAGAGAGGAAGGUGGGGAUGACGUCAAAUCAUCACGGCCCUUACGCCUUGGGCCACACACGUAAUACAAUGGCCAGUACAGAGGGCAGCUACACGGUGACGUGAUGCAAAUCUCGAAAGCUGGUCUCAGUUCGGAUUGGAGUCUGCAACUCGACUCUAUGAAGCUGGAAUCGCUAGUAAUCGCGCAUCAGCCAUGGCGC
This 1226-nucleotide ribosomal RNA is filed under the name Chryseobacterium sp. StRB235. RNAcentral's name for it is "bacterial SSU rRNA". It matches the Rfam family "Bacterial small subunit ribosomal RNA", at positions 127 to 1360 of the family's 1533-position model. Lineage: Bacteria; Pseudomonadati; Bacteroidota; Flavobacteriia; Flavobacteriales; Weeksellaceae. The record is from RNAcentral.